CAGAGAAACUCUGUCGCAAAAAAACAAAACAAAGUUCAUUAAUAUCUAGCUAUUACAUUUGUAGAAAUCAACACUGAAAAAACUUAGUCUCAGAUUACCCAACCAGAUAACCUGUGGCAUACUCGGCCAACUGUGCUGGGAAGGGCUGCAGCCAGGUUGAGGGCAACUUCAGAGCAUCCAGCGUUCAAGCUCCAACAGGCUUUAAAGCUCUUCUUGAAGUUGAGACCCCUGGCGGGGUGUGGCCACCUCAGCCCAUGCUGUGUAACUGAUGAAAACAGAGCAGUACAGUGGCCUCUGAAGACCUAACAAUUGAAGAUGUAAUAAUUGCAUGAGCUUGCUAACAUGACAUCAAAAGCUGUGCCACACUCAUGCUCAGCGGUCUCCUGCCUGGGAAGUUAUUUCAUCAGGUAUAUGAUUACUGAAGCCAAAGGAUGAUGAACCAAAUCUGCACAAGCAAACAAAAGGCCCGUUCUUAAGACUGCUCCGAAUUUACCCUAUACAUUGAAUAUACUUCAAAAAAUUAAAAAUAGAUUUUUAACUAGA
Molecule: long non-coding RNA, 543 nt
Organism: Meriones unguiculatus (Mongolian gerbil)
Lineage: Eukaryota; Metazoa; Chordata; Mammalia; Rodentia; Muridae
Exons: 2
Source: RefSeq, a predicted model, not a curated record